Molecule: long non-coding RNA, 247 nt
Organism: Lutra lutra (Eurasian river otter)
Lineage: Eukaryota; Metazoa; Chordata; Mammalia; Carnivora; Mustelidae
Exons: 3
Source: RefSeq, a predicted model, not a curated record
AGAUGCAAAUUUGAGAAGCAGAAGAAGAGAGGAGCCAGAACACCCUCCUGAGUUGAUUGACGAUCCUCAACACAGCCUUCCAUACCCUCAAAUGGCCCCCACCAACUUCUACCUUGUGGUAAAAACAUCAAAAUCUGAGCAUCAUCCCUGAAAGGAUAGCUGAAAAAAGGCUUUUCUACAACUUGUCCUUCUCAAAAGCAAUUAAUUUCCACAUAAGAAAGUGUUAUUAGAGGGGCGCCUGGGUGGC